Molecule: ribosomal RNA, 2443 nt
Filed under: human gut metagenome
Description: bacterial LSU rRNA
Rfam family: Bacterial large subunit ribosomal RNA
Source: RNAcentral
GGUUGCUUGCAAGGGCGUAUGGUGGAUGCCUUGGCAGACAGUACCGAUGAAGGACGUUUGAGGCUGCGAUAUGCCUCGGGGAGCCGCCAGCAGGGCUUUGAUCCGAGGAUUUCCGAAUGGGGGAACCCGCCGGCCGUCAUGGGCCGGCACCGCGUUCGCGCGGGGGGUACGCAGGGAAGUGAAACAUCUCAGUACCUGCAGGAAAGGAUGUUCCGUGAGUAGUGGCGAGCGAAAGCGGAUCAGGCCAAACCGCGCGCGUGUGACAGGCGCCAGCCGUUGCGCGCGUGGUGUUGAGGGAGCGUGUGUCCGGGUCCUGGCGGGCCCGGCCGGAGUGAUAAAACGGCGUGUGAGGCGAACCGGAUUGAAUGCCGGGCCGCAGAGGGUGAUGGCCCCGUAGCCGAACGCGCGUCGUCUCCGGAUCGUGUUUCCCAAGUAGCGCGGGACUCGUGGAAUCCCGUGUGAAUCCGCCCCGACCGUGGGGUAAGCCUAGAUAUACCUGUCUGACCGAUAGCGAACUAGUACCGUGAGGGAAAGGUGAAAAGCACCCCGGGAGGGGAGUGAAACAGUCUCUGAAACCGUGCGCUUACAAACCGUCGGAGCCUUUCGGGGUGACGGCGUGCCUAUCGAAAAAUGAGUCUGCGAGUCAGUGGCACGUGGCGAGCGUAACCCGUGUGGGGUACGCGUAGCGAAGGCGAGUCUCAAAAGGCGUUUGAGUCGCGUGUCCUGGACCCGAAGCGGGAUGAUCUAGCCCUGAGCAGGUUGAAGCGCGGGUAAGACCGCGUGGAGGACCGAACCCACCUGGGUUGAAAACCGGGGGGAUGACUUGGGGCUAGGGGUGAAAGGCCAAUCAAAUUCCGUGAUAGCUGGUUCUCUCCGAAAUGCAUUUAGGUGCAGCGUCGGGGAUUACGUCCGGGGGGUAGAGCUACUGGAUGCUUGAGGGCCCGUAUCGGGUACCGACAGCAGCCAAACUCCGAAUACCCGUGACGCGUAUCCCGGCAGUGAGUCGGCGGGGGAUAAGCUCCGUCGUCGAAAGGGAGACAGCCCAGAUCGUCGUCUAAGGUCCCCAAGCGCGUGCUAAGUGGGAAAGGAUGUGGAGUCGCAUAGACAGCCAGGAGGUUGGCUCAGAAGCAGCCACCCUUGAAAGAGUGCGUAACAGCUCACUGGUCUAGUGGUUCCGCGCCGACAAUGUAGCGGGGCUCAAGCACGCCACCGAAGACGCGGCAGCGUCCGUUUGGAUGCUGGGUAGGAGAGCGUCCCCAUCGGGGCGAAGCGGCGGCGCAAGCCUGCCGUGGACCGUUGGGGAGUGAGAAUGCAGACAUGAGUAGCGAGAGGCGGGUGCGAAUCCCGCCCGCUGGAUGACCAAGGGUUCCGGGGCCACGUUCGUCGUCCCCGGGUGAGUCGGGUCCUAAGGCGAGGCCGACAGGCGUAGUCGAAUGGAUGAACGGGCUGAUAUUCCCGUACCGGCAGCGAACCGAAACAACCGAGGCCUGGGGCGCUAACCUCCGGGCCCGUGCCGUCUCCCCUUUCGGGGGGUCGCGGCGCGGGCGCGUUGGGAUCCCCCCUUGUAGUAGGUCAGCGCAGGAGUGACGCAUCAGGGCAGCCGGCCGCGGAGGUGGUUUUCCGUGGUCAAGCGUUCGAGCCCGUCCCGCAGGCAAAUCCGCGGGGCGUCGGGGCGAGGCGUGAUGAUGGGGGCCUUACGGCCCGAAUCCGGUGAUCCGUGGUGCCGAGAAAAGCUUCGGCGUCAGGCGCGUUGCCGCCCGUACCCCAAACCGACACUGGUGGUCAGGUAGAGAAUACCAAAGCGAUCGAGCGAAUCCUGGUCAAGGAACUCGGCAAAUUGCUCCCGUGCCUUCGGCAUAAGGGAGACCCCCUGCGGUGAUGAGCGGCGGGGGGUGGCACAGGCCAGGGGGUAGCGACUGUUUACCAAAAACACAGGAGCGUGCGAAGGCGCAAGCCGCUGUAUACGCUCUGACGCCUGCCCGGUGCCGGAAGGUUAAGAGGAUCCGUCAGCUUCUGCGAAGCGGUGAAUUCAAGCCCCGGUAAACGGCGGUGGUAACUAUAACCAUCCUAAGGUAGCGAAAUUCCUUGUCGGGUAAGUUCCGACCUGCACGAAUGGCGUAACGACUUCCCCACUGUCUCGACCAGGAGCUCGGCGAAAUUGCAGUACGAGUAAAGAUGCUCGUUAAGCGCAGAAGGACGAAAAGACCCCGGGACCUUUACUAUACCUUGGUAUUGGCAUUAGGCGCGGAUUGUGUAGCAUAGGCGGGAGGCUUCGAGGCGGGUGCGCCAGCAUCCGCGGAGCCGCAAGGUGAAAUACCGCUCUGUUCUCGUUUGAUGUCUAACCUCGAACAGUCAUCCUGUUCAGGGACAGUGCCUGGCGGGUAGUUCAACUGGGGCGGUUGCCUCCCAAAGAGUAACGGAGGCGCUCAAAGGUCCGCUCAGC